Molecule: ribosomal RNA, 1526 nt
Filed under: uncultured delta proteobacterium
Lineage: Bacteria; Deltaproteobacteria
Description: partial 16S ribosomal RNA
Rfam family: Bacterial small subunit ribosomal RNA
Source: RNAcentral
AGAGUUUGAUCCUGGCUCAGAAUGAACGCUGGCGGCGUGCUUAACACAUGCAAGUCGUACGAGAACGCUUCAGCUUGCUGAAGCUAGUAAAGUGGCGUACGGGUGAGUAACGCGUGGGUAAUCUACCUUCGAAUUGGGGAUAACGUUGCGAAAGUGACGCUAAUACCGGAUAAUAUCAUAGAGACCUUGGUUUUUAUGAUCAAAGAUGGCCUCUCCUUGGAAGCUAUUGUUUGGAGAUGAGCCCGCGUCCCAUUAGCUUGUUGGUGGGGUAAUGGCCUACCAAGGCUACGAUGGGUAGCUGGUCUGAGAGGAUGAUCAGCCACACUGGAACUGACACACGGUCCAGACUCCUACGGGAGGCAGCAGUGAGGAAUUUUGCGCAAUGGGGGAAACCCUGACGCAGCAACGCCGCGUGAGUGAUGAAGGCUUUCGGGUCGUAAAGCUCUGUCAAGUGGGAAGAACUCCCGUGAGGUUAAUACCCUCAUGGUUUGACGGUACCACUGAAGGAAGCACCGGCUAACUCCGUGCCAGCAGCCGCGGUAAUACGGGGGGUGCAAGCGUUAUUCGGAUUUACUGGGCGUAAAGCGUGCGUAGGCGGUUUCGUAUGUCGGAUGUGAAAGCCCACGGCUCAACCGUGGAAUGGCACCCGAAACUACGGGACUAGAGUGCAGGAGGGGAGAGUGGAAUUCCUGGUGUAGCGGUGAAAUGCGUUGAUAUCAGGAGGAACACCGGUGGCGAAGGCGACUCUCUGGAAUGCUACUGACGCUGAGGCACGAAAGCGUGGGGAGCCAACAGGAUUAGAUACCCUGGUAGUCCACGCCGUAAACGUUGCGCACUUGGUGUUGGAGGUAUUGACCCCUUCAGUGCCGGAGCUAACGCGUUAAGUGCGCCGCCUGGGGAGUACGGCCGCAAGGCUAAAACUCAAAGAAAUUGACGGGGGCCCGCACAAGCGGAGGAGCAUGUGGCUUAAUUCGAUGCAACGCGAAGAACCUUACCAGGGCUUGACAUGUAACUGCUACUCCUGUGAAAGCAGGAUUCCUUCGAGGGUGUUACACAGGUGCUGCAUGGCUGUCGUCAGUUCGUGCCGUGAGGUGUUGGGUUAAGUCCCGCAACGAACGCAACCCUUAUGUUUAGUUGCAAUCGUCGGUGAUGAGCCGGCGAGCACUCUAGACAGACUGCCCGUACAAGCGGGAGGAAGGUGGGGACGACGUCAAGUCAGUAUGGCCCUUACGCCCUGGGCUGCACACGUGCUACAAUGGCCGGUACAAAAGGCUGCAAUACCGCAAGGUGGAGCUAAUCCCCAAAGCCGGCCUCAGUUCGGAUUGGAGUCUGAAACUCGACUCCAUGAAGUCGGAUUCGCUAGUAACGGCGCAUCAGCUACGGCGCCGUGAAUACGUUCCCGGGCCUUGUACACACCGCCCGUCACAUCAUGAAAGCCGUCUGCACCCGAAGUCGCUGAGCUAACCCGCAAGGGAAGCAGGUGCCGAAGGUGUGGGUGGUGAUUGGGAUGAAGUCGUAACAAGGUA